Long non-coding RNA from Puntigrus tetrazona (Sumatra barb), 770 nucleotides. RefSeq lists it as uncharacterized. The transcript has 3 exons. Lineage: Eukaryota; Metazoa; Chordata; Actinopteri; Cypriniformes; Cyprinidae. The record is from RefSeq and is a predicted model, not a curated record.
UAGGCCUGUAUGCAUUAGUGAAACUCAGUUAAAUGGUCCGGUUACUCCUCUUAUGAUGGGGCUGUCCAAUAAUAACCCCACCGUAGUGUUUCGCCCAUGGUUGUAGGGGGGCUAAUGUAAUCGACGGGACGGCGAUUUAAAUUGAAGGGGGUAGAUUGUAAUGGGAUAUGGGUUGGGCACUACAAGUCCCAGCAGUCCCAGGGCUCUUAAAAGGAAGUAGUAAGGUUGUGUUUGUUCCUUUUACUUCCGUCUUUUGAUUUUGGGGAAAGGUGGCGUGGAAGGUAGAGUGGCAUGUAGAUGUUACUUUGGGGAUAUGAGCGCAGAUAAUCAUUGCCGCCAAAUACCGCGGGAGCGUUGCUGAGAACUGAGAAUAUGAUGUACCGACUAAUAGUAGGUAGAAGUCUGGUCAUAUUGAUUUUGUUUAUAGGUGUUUUGUUUUAAUUAAAUUAUCUGCCUUUUUAUUUUAGUGGUGUGACUGGAUUAUUGCCUGACUGUGGCCUGACCAUCUUGUCGAAAUAGUGGAUGUGAAAGGUUUGCAGUGUGAUUGCUGUGAGCUUGGCUGCUGUGAGAACACUUUGGCUUCUAGGCCCUUCUUUCACUUUCUUAGGCAACCUGCGGCCACCUAGGGCCAGUUUUCUUUUAUUUCUUUUUCUUUAUUUUGUGGGCAUUUACAUCCAAAAGGGUAUGUGAUAUGUUUUAAUAUGUUUGACUUGUCUUUAAUAAAAAUGUAUUUGAUUCUUUAAAGUCACCUCAUGGCCCCUUCUUUUGGG